UGGUUCCCUACCCUCCCACAGAGCCGUCU
RNAcentral lists this non-coding RNA (29 nucleotides) under Rattus norvegicus (Norway rat). The record is from RNAcentral. Lineage: Eukaryota; Metazoa; Chordata; Mammalia; Rodentia; Muridae.